Molecule: ribosomal RNA, 522 nt
Filed under: uncultured bacterium
Lineage: Bacteria
Description: bacterial SSU rRNA
Rfam family: Bacterial small subunit ribosomal RNA
Source: RNAcentral
ACCCGGAUUUAUUGGGCGUAAAGCGUCUGCAGGUGGUUAGGUAAGUUGUUGGUCAAAUCCCCGGGCUCAACCCGAGGACUGACCGACAAAACUGCUCAACUAGAGGACGGAAGAGGCGAGUGGAAUUGCUGGUGUAACCGGUAAAAUGUGUUUAAUAUUCAGCAAGAACACCAAAUGCGAAGGCAUCUCGCUGGAACGUUCCUGACACUCAGAGACGAAAGCGUGGGGAGCGAAUGGGAUUAGAUACCCCAGUAGUCCACGCCGUAAACGAUGGGCACUAGUCCAUUGGCAGUAUCGACCCUGUCAGUGACGUUGAAAAUAGCUAACGCGUUAAGUGCCCCGCCUGUGGAGUACGGCCGCAAGGCUAAAACACAAAGGAAUUGACGGGGACCCGCACAAGCGGUGGAGCAUGUGGUUUAAUUCGAUACUAAGCGAGGAACCUCACCAAGGUUUUGACAUCUCUGGAACGUCCUGGAAACAGGACCGUGCCUUCGGGAACCAGAUGACAGGUGCUGCAUGGUU